This 960-nucleotide long non-coding RNA is filed under the name Androctonus crassicauda. The record is from RNAcentral. Lineage: Eukaryota; Metazoa; Arthropoda; Arachnida; Scorpiones; Buthidae.
GCAAUAACUACGGAUGCACAGGUUCUUUUUUUUUAUUUUCUGAAAAAUGCAGAAUUGAAAAUUAACACAAAAAACACGGGCAACCCAACAAGAAUUACCAAAUAACGUCACACAAUUCCAUGCACGCUCAUGCCCUAUAUGGCGAAAUUUAAAUAUCGAAUUGCGAGGUACCACUAUAUCAGUCAUAAUAUAAAAAAUAUGGUGGCUGCUAUUUCUAAUUACGUUACUCAAUCAGUUAAUAUUUGAAAAGUUAUAAUCAGUUUUUAUUAUAAAUAAAAUAAUGCUUAGUAUGGAUAUAACAGUGAUGAAUUAGAAUAAUAUUAGAAUUAAAUAAUUUAGUAAUACUCUUAUAGUGAUAUAUAUAUGUGGGAUAAAUAGAAAAGUUAUUCAUAAUGUUUAUAGAUCAUUACAAGUAAUUAAAAUUUAAUGAAAUAAACUUUAUGCAGGUGAAUCUAUUCAGGUAUAAUCUAUUAUUUCUGCAAUAGUAUCAAUAUCUAUUAAAUACAAAUUAAUUACUGAUAAAAAUGGUGUUCACGAAAUUUUCUUUAAAAUCUUGUUUAUUUUCACUCGAGACUAUUUACUUUGAUAAUAAUUUAUUUACUUUUAAUGAUACUCAUACUGAUUUAGGUAUAAUUCUGGACUCUAAACUUUCUUUUUCUGCUCAUAUUGACAAAAUUAUUAGUAAGAUAUAUAGAUUAACAGAAUGUAUGUGUGCGGCAUUUACGGAAUAUUAAAGACAGCUUAUAUAAAAUUUGGGUACAUUCUAUAAUUCUGUCUAAUAUCUAUUACAGAUAACAUGAUAGAUAGGUUCCUAAAAACAGUGUGUUGUCUGAAACUGUACUAUAUUAAACCCAGAGCCGAUACAAAAAGGAGAGAUAAGUUCAAAACCCAAUGAAAAAUAAAUAACUUUCUUUAAUUCCACUUAAGGAAUUUAAUUUUUAUUGAGAAUAUUAAUAACCC